Molecule: ribosomal RNA, 1245 nt
Filed under: metagenome
Description: bacterial LSU rRNA
Rfam family: Bacterial large subunit ribosomal RNA
Source: RNAcentral
UGAGUACGAGAUGCUACGGCAUCGAAGCAGUUUAUGUCAUACUUCCAAGAAAAGCUUGCACUGUCAUAAACAAAGAAUGCCUGUACCAUUACCGACACAGGUGGGUAGGUAGAGCAUACUAAGGGGCGCGAGAUAACUCUCUCUAAGGAACUCGGCAAAAUGACUCCGUAACUUCGGGAGAAGGAGUGCCUUAUUUCUAAGGUUGCAAUAACAAGAUCCAAGCAACUGUUUACCAAAAACACAGGUCUCCGCUAAGUCGUAAGACGAUGUAUGGGGGCUGACGCCUGCCCAGUGCCAGAAGGUUAAAGAAGUUGGUUAGCAUUAGCGAAGCUGAUAACUGAAGCCCUGGUGAACGGCGGCCGUAACUAUAACGGUCCUAAGGUAGCGAAAUUCCUUGUCGGGUAAGUUCCGACCCGCACGAAAGGCGUAAUGAUUUGGAUACUGUCUCGGAGAGGGGCUCGGUGAAAUAGACUUGUCUGUGAAGAUGCGGACUACCUGCACCUGGACAGAAAGACCCUAUGAAGCUUUACUGUAACUUGAGAUUGAAAUUGGACUUUAUUUGCGCAGUAUAGGUGGGAGGCGUUGAGAAUAAUCUUGCGGGAUUGUUGGAGCCAUCAGUGAGAUACCACUCUUGUAAUGUUAGAUUUCUAACUUUGUAUCAUUAUCUGGUCAAAGAACAGUUUCAGGCGGGCAGUUUGACUGGGGCGGUCGCCUCCCAAAGGGUAACGGAGGCGCACAAAGGUUUCCUCUGAACGGGUAGAAAUCGUAUCUAGAGUGUAAAGGCAUAAGGAAGCUUGACUGUGAGACCUACAAGUCGAGCAGGGACGAAAGUCGGUCUUAGUGAUCUGACGGUGCUGAGUGGAAAGGCCGUCACUCAACGGAUAAAAGUUACUCUAAGGAUAACAGGCUGAUCUCCCCCAAGAGUUCACAUCGACGGGGAGGUUUGGCACCUCGAUGUCGGCUCAUCGCAUCCUGGGGCGGUAGUCCGUCCCAAGGGUUGGGCUGUUCGCCCAUGAAAGCGGUACGCGAGCUGGGUUCAGAACGUCGUGAGACAGUUCGGUCCAUAUCCGGUGUAGGCGUUAGAAUAUUGAGAGGAGCCUUCUCUAGUACGAGAGGACCGAGAAGGACAUACCUCUGGUGUACCAGUUAUCGUGCCAACGGUAAACGCUGGGUAGCUAUGUAUGGAGUGGAUAACCGCUGAAAGCAUCUAAGUGGGAAGCCCACCUCAAGAUAAGUAUUCUCAUC